RNAcentral lists this ribosomal RNA (805 nucleotides) under uncultured Flavobacteriia bacterium. RNAcentral describes it as "bacterial SSU rRNA". It matches the Rfam family "Bacterial small subunit ribosomal RNA", at positions 71 to 873 of the family's 1533-position model. Lineage: Bacteria; Pseudomonadati; Bacteroidota; Flavobacteriia. The record is from RNAcentral.
GGGGUGUAGCAAUACACUCGCUGGCGACCGGCAAACGGGUGCGGAACACGUACGCAAUCUACCCAAAACUGGUGAAUAGCCCUCCGAAAGGAGGAUUAAUACACCGUAACCUAUUGAAGUGGCAUCACUUUAUUAGUAUAGCUCCGGCGGUUUUGGAUGAGCGUGCGGCUGAUUAGAUAGUUGGCGGGGUAACGGCCCACCAAGUCUGCGAUCAGUAACUGGUGUGAGAGCACGACCAGUCACACGGGCACUGAGACACGGGCCCGACUCCUACGGGAGGCAGCAGUAAGGAAUAUUGGUCAAUGGACGCAAGUCUGAACCAGCCAUGCCGCGUGGAGGAUGAAGGCCCUCUGGGUUGUAAACUUCUUUUAUGGGGGACGAAACCCUGGUAUUCUUACCAGAUUGACGGUACCCUAGGAAUAAGCACCGGCUAACUCCGUGCCAGCAGCCGCGGUAAUACGGAGGGUGCAAGCGUUAUCCGGAUUCACUGGGUUUAAAGGGUGCGUAGGAGGGCAGGUAAGUCAGUGGUGAAAUCUCCAAGCUUAACUUGGAAACUGCCGUUGAUACUAUCUGUCUUGAAUAUUGUGGAGGUGAGCGGAAUAUGUCAUGUAGCGGUGAAAUGCUUAGAUAUGACAUAGAACACCAAUUGCGAAGGCAGCUCACUACUCAAUCAUUGACUCUGAGGCACGAAAGCGUGGGGAUCAAACAGGAUUAGAUACCCUGGUAGUCCACGCCCUAAACUAUGGAUACUCGACAUACGCGAUAUACAGUGUGUGUCUGAGCGAAAGCAUUAAAGUAUCCCACC